UAAUACGUAGGUGGCAAGCGUUGUCCGGAUUUAUUGGGCGUAAAGGGAGCGCAGGUGGUUUCUUAAGUCUGAUGUGAAAGCCCACGGCUUAACCGUGGAGGGUCAUUGGAAACUGGGAAACUUGAGUACAGAAGAGGAAUGUGGAACUCCAUGUGUAGCGGUGGAAUGCGUAGAUAUAUGGAAGAACACCAGUGGCGAAGGCGACAUUCUGGUCUGUUACUGACACUGAGGCUCGAAAGCGUGGGGAGCAAACAGGAUUAGAUACCCUGGUAGUCCACGCCGUAAACGAUGAGUGCUAGGUGUUGGAGGGUUUCCGCCCUUCAGUGCCGCAGUUAACGCAUUAAGCACUCCGCCUGGGGAGUACGACCGCAAGGUUGAA
This 379-nucleotide ribosomal RNA is filed under the name uncultured bacterium. RNAcentral describes it as "bacterial SSU rRNA". It matches the Rfam family "Bacterial small subunit ribosomal RNA", at positions 521 to 898 of the family's 1533-position model. The record is from RNAcentral.